CAGUAGCCGCGGGAAUACGUAGGUGGCAAGCGUUGUCCGGAAUUAUUGGGCGUAAAGGGCUCGCAGGCGGUUUCUUAAGUCUGAUGUGAAAGCCCCCGGCUCAACCGGAGAGGGUCAUUGGAAACUGGGAAACUUGAGUGCAGAAGAGGAGAGUGGAAUUCCACGUGUAGCGGUGAAAUGCGUAGAGAUGUGGAGGAACACCAGUGGCGAAGGCGACUCUCUGGUCUGUAACUGACGCUGAGGAGCGAAAGCGUGGGGAGCGAACAGGAUUAGAUACCCCUGUAGUCCCUGUCUCUUAUAC
This 301-nucleotide ribosomal RNA is filed under the name uncultured bacterium. RNAcentral's name for it is "partial 16S ribosomal RNA". It matches the Rfam family "Bacterial small subunit ribosomal RNA", at positions 509 to 807 of the family's 1533-position model. The record is from RNAcentral.